AUUGAACGCUGGCGGCAUGCCUUACACAUGCAAGUCGAACGGUAACGCGGGGCAACCUGGCGACGAGUGGCGAACGGGUGAGUAAUGUAUCGGAACGUGCCCAGUUGUGGGGGAUAACUGCUCGAAAGAGCAGCUAAUACCGCAUACGACCUGAGGGUGAAAGCGGGGGAUCGCAAGACCUCGCGCAGUUGGAGCGGCCGAUAACAGAUUAGGUAGUUGGUGGGGUAAAGGCUCACCAAGCCAACGAUCUGUAGCUGGUCUGAGAGGACGACCAGCCACACUGGGACUGAGACACGGCCCAGACUCCUACGGGAGGCAGCAGUGGGGAAUUUUGGACAAUGGGCGCAAGCCUGAUCCAGCCAUGCCGCGUGCGGGAAGAAGGCCUUCGGGUUGUAAACCGCUUUUGUCAGGGAAGAAAAGACUCCUGUUAAUACCGGGGGUUCAUGACGGUACCUGAAGAAUAAGCACCGGCUAACUACGUGCCAGCAGCAGCCGCAG
This 498-nucleotide ribosomal RNA is filed under the name uncultured bacterium. RNAcentral describes it as "partial 16S ribosomal RNA". It matches the Rfam family "Bacterial small subunit ribosomal RNA", at positions 29 to 523 of the family's 1533-position model. The record is from RNAcentral.